Molecule: ribosomal RNA, 255 nt
Filed under: uncultured bacterium
Lineage: Bacteria
Description: partial 16S ribosomal RNA
Rfam family: Bacterial small subunit ribosomal RNA
Source: RNAcentral
UACGGGGGGAGCAAGCGUUGUUCGGAUUUACUGGGCGUAAAGGGCGCGUAGGCGGCCACGACAAGUCACUUGUGAAAUCUCCGGGCUUAACUCGGAAACGGUCAAGUGAUACUGUCGGGCUAGAGUGCAGAAGGGGCAACUGGAAUUCUCGGUGUAGCGGUGAAAUGCGUAGAUAUCGAGAGGAACACCAGAGGCGAAGGCGGCUACCUGGACAAUUGCUGACGCUCAGGCACGAAAGCGUGGGGAGCAAAAGGG